RNAcentral lists this ribosomal RNA (464 nucleotides) under uncultured delta proteobacterium. RNAcentral's name for it is "bacterial SSU rRNA". It matches the Rfam family "Bacterial small subunit ribosomal RNA", at positions 60 to 523 of the family's 1533-position model. The record is from RNAcentral. Lineage: Bacteria; Deltaproteobacteria.
AGUCGAGCGAGAAAGUUCCUUCGGGAAUGAGUAGAGCGGCGAACGGGUGAGUAAUGCAUAAGAAUCUGCCUUUUAGUGAAGGAUACCUCUGGGAAACUGGAGUUAAUACUGCAUACGUCCCUUCGGGGAGAAAGAUGGCCUCUUGCUGUCGCUAAAAGAUGAGCUUAUGUUCUAUUAGUUUGUUGGUGGGGUAAAGGCCUACCAAGACGAUGAUGGAUAGCCGGCCUGAGAGGGUGAACGGCCACAUUGGAACUUAGACACGGUCCAGACUCCUACGGGAGGCAGCAGUGAGGAAUAUUGCACAAUGGGCGAAAGCCUGAUGCAGCGACGCCGCGUGGAGGAUGACGGUUUUCGGAUUGUAAACUCCUGUUAAGUGGGAAGAAAGUAGCUUCUUUAAUAGAGAAGCGAGAUGACGGUACCACUAGAGAAAGCACCGGCUAACUUCGUGCCAGCAGCCGCGGUAA